GACGAACGCUGGCGGCGUGCUUAACACAUGCAAGUCGAACGGAAAGGCCCUGCUUUUGUGGGGUGCUCGAGUGGCGAACGGGUGAGUAACACGUGAGUAACCUGCCCUUGACUUUGGGAUAACUUCAGGAAACUGGGGCUAAUACCGGAUAGGAGCUCCUGCUGCAUGGUGGGGGUUGGAAAGUUUCGGCGGGUGGGGAUGGACUCGCGGCUUAUCAGCUUGUCGGUGGGGUAGUGGCUUACCAAGGCUUUGACGGGUAGCCGGCCUGAGAGGGUGACCGGCCACAUUGGGACUGAGAUACGGCCCAGACUCCUACGGGAGGCAGAAGUGGGGAAUAUUGCACAAUGGGCGGAAGCCUGAUGCAGCAACGCCGCGUGCGGGAUGACGGCCUUCGGGUUGUAAACCGCUUUCGCCUGUGACGAAGCGUGAGUGACGGUAAUGGGUAAAGAAGCACCGGCUAACUACGUG
Molecule: ribosomal RNA, 468 nt
Filed under: uncultured bacterium
Lineage: Bacteria
Description: partial 16S ribosomal RNA
Rfam family: Bacterial small subunit ribosomal RNA
Source: RNAcentral